This 72-nucleotide transfer RNA is filed under the name Camelus bactrianus (Bactrian camel). It matches the Rfam family "tRNA". From Rfam's summary of the family: Transfer RNA (tRNA) molecules are approximately 80 nucleotides in length. Their secondary structure includes four short double-helical elements and three loops (D, anti-codon, and T loops). RNAcentral also lists the same sequence under 2 other names. The record is from Rfam by way of RNAcentral. Lineage: Eukaryota; Metazoa; Chordata; Mammalia; Artiodactyla; Camelidae.
GAAGAUAUAGCUCAGUGGCAGAGUAUGUACUUAGCAUGUGUGAAGUCCUGGGUUCAAUCCCUAAUACCUCCA